This 1037-nucleotide long non-coding RNA is filed under the name Chinchilla lanigera (long-tailed chinchilla). RNAcentral describes it as "lncRNA (ENSCLAG00000028448.1)". Lineage: Eukaryota; Metazoa; Chordata; Mammalia; Rodentia; Chinchillidae. The record is from RNAcentral.
GGGAAAGAGAGCUUGACUUCCUCCUUUGAAAUAUGAAGAUAGAGUUGCGAUAUCUGUAUACUUGGCUUGUGUGUAUCAGCUAAAUUGGCUUAACCAAAAAAGAAGAGGAAAGUGAAUUGAAGUGUAGGAGGAGAGGUUGAGGGAAUGGGGUGGGGUCUUACACAGCAGGAAUGAUUCCGCCUACACCUGCAGUUUGCCUGAUAUAAGCGGAGGGGAGAUGGGAAAUGACUGCCCACCCUCUCGGGCUGCCAGCCACAUGGUGAUCUUGGUGAGCAUCUCUCCGUCAGUGUCACCUGGGACCAUGAGCAAAUGUGCGGGCUCUCCUGCAGACCCACAGAGCCGGAAACCGCAGGACGGGGUGGCAACCUGUGUUUGAACAAGCUCCUCCAGGGAUCCUGAUGCAAGCUCCACUCUGAGAAAACUCCUCCGAGCCAAGCAUACUGGGAUUUGCUGGCAGCUCUUUGGAACCAGUAAGAGGUCAACAUGUACCGGGCGUCAGAGCUGUGUUCCAAAGGGGAUAGUGGCCACACCCCGUUCCAGACCGGAACUCCUCAAAGCAACAGCUUGUGUGCAGCAAGGAAAGUGGCAUUCUCCUGAUACGAGUCCUGGAAUCACUAGGAAGAACAGUGUGUCGAUUUCUCACACAUGGAUCAAAUCGUUUUUGGUUAAGUGGCUGAGGCUGGCUGCUUCCAUGCCUGUCUCCCAAUUUUCUUCCCUCUGUUUGUGCCUUGUAAACCUGUGUGUCACCAAGCAGCCCUGGUUGCUCAUUUUCAACAGAUCCCACAGGGUCAAAACUACUGGGGUGUGGGGGCCCUUUGGCCUGUGCCUUUGGAGGAGUGGUUUGGGCCCCAGAUUCCAUACAUGGUAAUUCCAUCCACCCCACAGCCAAGGACACAUCAGGAGUGGCAGUUGUUUUUAGUAACAUCUUUCUGACAUGGAAAUGUCAAAGAUGUCACUGACUGACAGUUUAGUUAAGAGUUCACAGAAUAUGUAUUGAACUCAGGCCCUCAGUGCACUGUUUUCUGCUACCAAAGCCC